CGUAGGUGGCAAGCGUUGUCCGGAUUUAUUGGGUUUAAAGGGUGCGUAGGCGGCUUUGUAAGUCAGUGGUGAAAUAUGGCAGCUCAACUGUCAGGGUGCCAUUGAUACUGCGGAGCUUGAGUACAGAUGAGGUAGGCGGAAUUGACGGUGUAGCGGUGAAAUGCUUAGAUAUCGUCAAGAACACCGAUAGCGAAGGCAGCUUACUGGGCUGUAACUGACGCUGAGGCACGAAAGUGUGGGGGAUCAAACAGGAUUAGAUACCCUGGUAGUCCACACUGUAAACGUUGAUGACUCGCUGUUGGCGAUACACGGCCAGCGGCAGAGAGAAAUCGUUAAGUCAUCCACCUGGGGAGUACGCCGGCAACGGUG
Molecule: ribosomal RNA, 369 nt
Filed under: uncultured organism
Description: bacterial SSU rRNA
Rfam family: Bacterial small subunit ribosomal RNA
Source: RNAcentral